This 489-nucleotide long non-coding RNA is filed under the name Volvox carteri. RNAcentral describes it as "long non-coding RNA (VCAR_LNC001973)". Lineage: Eukaryota; Viridiplantae; Chlorophyta; Chlorophyceae; Chlamydomonadales; Volvocaceae. The record is from RNAcentral.
UUCAGCGGUCAGCUGCUACAUUUGGUAUCGAGACCUCGUGAAAAUUCACGAUCCUGAAGUCGUCGGUUCAACCCCCACCGAUCACGUUCGGGUGGUAUUCGGGUGUGGCGACUCAGUGAGCGAAUAUCGCACAAAGAUAUAAAAAAUAAGUAGCUGAACCGACUGGACUGUCUCUGUGCCUGAAAAACCUGAAGACGGCUAGGCGCAUGUGAGGGCGGCACAUGACGUGACGUGGGCUUGGACCACCCACUGCCCGAGGGUAGGCGACGGUAGGCACAGGCUGGCGGUAUACGAGGCUCUAAGGGCCCGGGACGGUUCCCUUCAAAGGGGGGGGAAUGUAGCAGCCGGUAUACAGUACGGUGCUAUAAAUACGCGCAGAGCGCGACCGCCAGCAACUCGAGAGACCUUUUCAGCGGUCAGCUGCUACAUACUGCUUGGCAAAGAGAUGAUGUGUAGUAUCGAAACCUCUUCUGAAACCCGCUUGGCCUC